UGAGGAAUAUUGCACAAUGGGCGAAAGCCUGAUGCAGCGACGCCGCGUGGAGGAUGAAGGUCUUCGGAUCGUAAACUUCUGUUAAGUGGGAAGAAAAGCUCGUCUCUAAUACAGACGAGUUCUGACGGUACCAUUAGAGAAAGCACCGGCUAACUUCGUGCCAGCAGCCGCGGUAAUACGAAGGGUGCAAGCGUUAUUCGGAAUCAUUGGGUGUAAAGGGUGCGUAGACGGUAUGUUAAGUCCGCUGUUAAAUUUUCCGGCCUAACCGGAAAUCUGCAGUAGAAACUGGCAUGCUAGAGGUUGGAAGAGAGAAGUGGAAUUCUCGGAGUAGCGGUAAAAUGCGUAGAUCUCGAGAGGAACACCAAUGGCGAAGGCAGCUUCUUGGUCCAUACCUGACGUUGAGGCACGAAAGCGUGGGGAGCAAACAGG
RNAcentral lists this ribosomal RNA (429 nucleotides) under uncultured bacterium. RNAcentral's name for it is "bacterial SSU rRNA". It matches the Rfam family "Bacterial small subunit ribosomal RNA", at positions 355 to 776 of the family's 1533-position model. The record is from RNAcentral.